AACGAACGCUGGCGGCAUGCCUAACACAUGCAAGUCGAACGAGACCUUCGGGUCUAGUGGCGCACGGGUGCGUAACGCGUGGGAACCUGCCCUUAGGUUCGGAAUAACUCCCCGAAAGGGGUGCUAAUACCGGAUAAUGUCUUCGGACCAAAGAUUUAUCGCCUUUGGAUGGGCCCGCGUUGGAUUAGCUAGUUGGUAGGGUAAAAGCCUACCAAGGCGACGAUCCAUAGCUGGUCUGAGAGGAUGAUCAGCCACACUUGGACUGAGACACGGCCCAGACUCCUACGGGAGGGAGGAGAGGGGGAUAAUGGAACAUGGGGGAAAGCCUGAUCCAGCAAUGCCGCGUGAGUGAUGAAGGCCUUAGGGUUGUAAAGCUCUUUUACCCGGGAUGAUAAUGACAGUACCGGGAGAAUAAGCUCCGGCUAACUCCGUG
Molecule: ribosomal RNA, 433 nt
Filed under: uncultured bacterium
Lineage: Bacteria
Description: partial 16S ribosomal RNA
Rfam family: Bacterial small subunit ribosomal RNA
Source: RNAcentral